Long non-coding RNA from Triticum aestivum (bread wheat), 1212 nucleotides. RefSeq lists it as uncharacterized. NCBI's taxonomy places the organism in Eukaryota, Viridiplantae, Streptophyta, Magnoliopsida, Poales, Poaceae. The record is from RefSeq and is a predicted model, not a curated record. The transcript has 2 exons.
AAGACCCACCAUCACCGUUAAUCAACCCGUUCUUCCUCCCUCUUCUGCUCACCGCGCGGCGGUCGUAUGUAUGGAGACUCCAGCCGGAGAAGAUGGCCUCGUCGACGCCAACCCGCAGCUGCCAAGCGGCGGAUCGCCGGCCUCGUGUGCCAGGCGAAAUGCAUCACAGAAGGGCACGGUGGACGCCCGCCGGGAGCGCCGCCGGCACCAGAUCAGAUUUCGUCCGCCCGCCAGAUACCUGGGAGCGAAGAUCCACCUCCUUGCAGACGCUCAAGGCCUCAUGAAGCUGCUGCUGCCGGCGCAUCCAUGUCUGAAUCCCAAGAAAUAGUACCAGCUGAAUAAUCUGAGAAAUCAUACUCUAUCGUUAUACGUACAUGGAAAUAGCCCGGUGUCAAUAUCACCCAUAUGUCGUUCGUGUCAUUUGCUUACUCACUUGCAGCUGCUCCUCGGUGCAGAGCUUGAUGCACUAGUCCAGUCUGAUGCCUGGCAGUCUGUUUGUGAGCUGUUGGAGCUGCCAGAUUACCAAGUCUGUAGUAUGGAUGCCAGGUUACUCCACGAUUGCCCCAUGUUGAAUUCUCUAGUAAUGUAUUUCUACCUGAGGGUCAGAAAUUUCAGUGUUGUUUUUCUUCCUCAAUCUCCAUCAUUUUAUAACCAUGUGAAUAUUUGAUCUACCAGAAACAGGGGGUGUGGGAGGGAGUACCGGAUGAAUAACCUGAGAAAUUAUUGUCUGUUUAUUUACAGUUGGAAAUAACCCGUUUCUGCAUUACCAAUCUGAUGUGCCUGAUUUUAGUUUGCAGCUGCGCUAUUGUGCAGAGCUUAAUAUACUAUGGCUGCUGUUAACCGCCCAUUUCCUAUUUCUACAAUGAGCAUGUUUGUAGAACUGUCGCCCCAUGUUAAACACAGUGGCGAACGACGUGUCUUGCCUCGUCAAGAUUAUGAUAAGAUGCCGUAAUCUUGGCUUCUUAUUUGCUUACCAGUGGAAGCUCUGCCUUAAUUGAUUCGUUGCGAUAUGCUGUUCUUUGGUGUGGUUCUCUGGUUUUCUCGGUGAAUAAGAGCCAUCUGAUGCCUGUUUGUUUCCAGUUACAGUGCCUAUCAGUCCACCACCAUUUUUGUAAGAGUCUGGAUUUGGUGUUGGUGGUUUUAUUUUAUUUUUGAACUUGAAUACUCUAUUGAUUCAAUCAAUUUGAUUGUAAUAAUGUAUUACUACCCAAA